This 253-nucleotide ribosomal RNA is filed under the name uncultured bacterium. Its description in RNAcentral is "partial 16S ribosomal RNA". It matches the Rfam family "Bacterial small subunit ribosomal RNA", at positions 524 to 776 of the family's 1533-position model. The record is from RNAcentral.
UACGUAGGGUGCAAGCGUUAAUCGGAAUUACUGGGCGUAAAGCGUGCGUAGGUGGUUUUUUAAGUCCGUUGUGAAAGCCCUGGGCUCAACCUGGGAAUGGCAGUGGAUACUGGAAAGCUAGAGUGCGGUAGAGGGUAGUGGAAUUCCCGGUGUAGCAGUGAAAUGCGUAGAGAUCGGGAGGAACACCAGUGGCGAAGGCGGCUACCUGGACCAGCACUGACACUGAGGAGCGAAAGCGUGGGGAGCGAACAGG